GACGAACGCUGGCGGCGUGCUUAACACAUGCAAGUCGAACGGAAAGGCCCUGCUUUUGUGGGGUGCUCGAGUGGCGAACGGGUGAGUAACACGUGAGUAACCUGCCCUUGACUUUGGGAUAACUUCAGGAAACUGGGGCUAAUACCGGAUAGGAGCUCCUGCUGCAUGGUGGGGGUUGGAAAGUUUCGGCGGUUGGGGCUGGACUCGGGGCUUAUCAGCUUGUUGGUGGGGUAGUGGCUUACCAAGGCUUUGACGGGUAGCCGGCCUGAGAGGGGGACCGGCCACAUUGGGACUGAGGUACGGCCCAGACUCCUACGGGAGGCAGCGGUGGGGAAUAUUGCCCAAUGGGCGGAAGCCUGAUGCAGCGGCGCCGCGUGCGGGAUGACGGCCUUCGGGUUGUAAACCGCUUUCGCCUGUGACGAAGCGGGAGUGACGGUAAUGGGUAAAGAAGCACCGGCUAACUACGUG
RNAcentral lists this ribosomal RNA (468 nucleotides) under uncultured bacterium. RNAcentral describes it as "partial 16S ribosomal RNA". It matches the Rfam family "Bacterial small subunit ribosomal RNA", at positions 28 to 507 of the family's 1533-position model. The record is from RNAcentral.